AUCUGCCUAUGCUUAAUUUAUUCAUGGGCAUCAUUUUAAUGCAACAUCAUACAUAUUCAUGCCAUUAUUGAUGGCUGUGCUAGAAAAUGCUUGCACCAUUUCAGAGAAUUGUAAGCACAGCUCCCACUGCUCCCAAGAAAGUCUUCCGGGCCUUCCUGGGGCUUUCCUGACACUACAGACAAUAUUAAUAUUAACAAUAUUAUUAACCAUUCACAUGGGCAGAGAUGCUUGCUAAAGCCACAGUGGCUUAGCAUUAACAUGCAUUUGCUGCAAGCUCAGGGAUGAAAUAGGAUGCUUCACGAAGUUGACAGGGAGAUCUGUUUUGAAGUCAGUCCCUCUAAGUCUCAUAUGUAGCCACUUGAUUUGAAUUCUCAACUGCUGCAAAUGGGUCUAGCUGUGGCUUGUUCAACAUACAGUCACCACCUGCCAAGGAGGGGGCCCAGACAGCAGCAACAGCAAAGAGUACAUGAAAUGGCACGGCACUGGUAGCAUUUCCCUAUUUUUAAAUUGUGAAAUGAAUGCUGUUGGGAUAGAGCACACAGCUUCUGUGAAAUCGUAACAACUUUCAAACAUAAGGCAUCCUUUCUUCCAGACAUCACAGCUGAGCACAAACAAUUUCUGAAGCUACUUUGCUUCCACAGGAUAGGCCCUGCCUGCCACUAUGAAACACAGACAUCAGUCUAAAAUCUCUUAUACCUUUUAUAUAAAGCUGGUACUUACCAUGUUGUUACAGUAAGUGCCACACUUUUAACCAAUGCUUUUCUUCUAGAAAAAAAUGGUGCCAGUACUGCGUACUCUUGAGUACCCCUAUAAAAAAGCACCGUCUAUUCCUACAAAGGUCUUCCAUCUGAAUUUACCUAAAAAUUUUACCUAAACGAUGUCUCGUGCUUCUCUGUCAGCUAUCACACAUAGGAAGGUGGCAAAAACACGGUCAGACCAUUGACCCGCCUUGCCCACCUGCAUGGACUGGCAGCAAUUCUCCAGGGCUUCAGGCAAGAUUCCAGCCCUACCUGGGGGAGAUGCUACCUGCAGACCAUGCUCUACCACUAACCAAACCAGAGAUCCUUCCUGCCACCCUCUGGAGGCCUUUCGUAAGCCUCAUAUUCACAGGGGCGAACAAGGCAAAGGAGGGAAACAGCAACAGCAGGAGCAUGGCUGGUGCUCUGGUGACCCCAUGGCUGGUGCGCUGGGAAGCUGUCCCACAGAGCAGCUCAGUCAUCAGCAGUCGCCAGGCAGGGGCAUUUUUUUGCCGUGCAUGAGGCAGGCGGCCUCAAUUCUUCCAGGCUGCCCAAAGGGCCGGUCAUCCAUUCACCCGUUUGUUUGGCUGCGUGGGGGUGAGAGGGGCGGCGAAUGGGGCGAGGCAGGCAGAAAGCGGGCGAGCCCCAACGAAUCCGCCCAGCCUACUCCGCAGGGCUGUUGUGGGGAUUACCACUACGGGGAGGAGGGCAGCGGGUCCACGUGCAGCGCCCUGAACUCCCUCAAGGGGCUGAAACACCAUCGCCGUCGGGACCGCCCCGCCUCCAAGCAUUAUCGGGAUCCUCCCGCCUCACACUCUCAGGAGAGGGAGGGACGGGCGGCGGCGGCACCACGACUUAGCUGACUCUCGUCCGCUCCGUCUUCUUGCCUUCCUUACUUUGAGCCAGCGGCGAGGAAAGAGCCGCGCGGACCGAUGGCAUCAUCGCAGGGCGCCAAUCCGCCGCAGCCUCCAAGGUGGAAGUGCGAGCCGGGAAGCGGUUACCUAGCAACGGAGAGGAAAAGUCCGAGGCCUGCUGGGCCUUUGGAGUACAUCCAUGACAUGCGUUAAACUGGUUUUCGUAUUGCUUUAAAGUUUAAACCAAUCGUGGUUCUGCUCCCCCCUCCCCCGAAAAAGAAAAGAAUACUGUACUAGGAACUUUAAUUUGUUUAAGAUGCUGAGGAUGGUUAGGAGGCUCUACAGCUACAAUUCCCGGAGUUCCUUGCGAAAAGGGAUUGAUUGCUAAACCACUCUGCAAUUUGCAACCCUGGGAAGGGGGAAUGGGGGCGAUAUCCUAACUCCCGAACUACAGUUCCCAGAAAUCUUGGUUUGGGGGGAGCCAUGGCUCUUUAAAGUGGUCUCAUAACGUUUUCAGUGCAUAGUGUGGAUGUAGCUUUGAUUUGCUUUUCCCUGCCUAGUAAGGGAAAGUUAGAAGAGUGGAGGGCAGGAUGGGAUCUCUGGCCCUCCAGUGGUUGUGGGAGGCUGACCAAUCCCCUCGCCCCUUCCCCCUAGCCACACUAGCCAGUGCUGAUGGGGGCUCCAAAGAGCAGCCACAUUUGGAGGCUAGCAGGUGCUCCUCACCCUUGUCAUAAAGCUCCCCUCCCUUUUUUUCAGGGGGCCCCAACUGAGUCCAUCAACAAUUCCCACACUGGGCAAAUUCAUUGCCCUGUUGAAUGUUUAACUGUAGUAAAACAAGGCAUUUUCUUUAGGAUUGGGAAGUCAACCAUUAUUUUGUUAUGCUGUUAACUGUACAACUGGGUUUUUAUUUCAAUUUCCCCCAUAAAUUUUACCCCACACCUUCAGCCUGCAAGGACAGCUAACACAAAGGGGAAAAAACAAUAUGGGAUAAAAUCAGUUGCUGAUAAUAUGUGGCUUCCCACAAUACCCAGAUUAUUUUGCUUCUCCUACAAAUUUUCUGGGAACCACCUUAAGCCCACAAAUUUCCCUUGAUCACUUCUUGCCGUUUUUGUUUUCAAAAAGAGAUUUGGGAGAUGUGGUUCAUUAGUACCACCUCUCAAGAGCUGCUUCCCAAAUGACUUCUUUUUUAUGACUUCCUGCAUUCUACCAAAUAUGUCAGCAAACUUUAAAUACCUCUCCUUCUCUCCCCUAGAAACCAGUUUAUGGACUCUUCCAUGAAGAAGAGGACAAGAAGUGAAGGAGAAGCCCUGCCUCUAUUCCAGAACAGUUUUUACAAUUAACAGAAUAUAUGUACAGCCCGAGCUUACAGCACACAACUGAUUCUGAUUAAACAUUAAGGAAGAACUUUCUGAUGGUAAGAGCUCUUUGACAAUGGAAAGGAUUUCCUAGGAAGGGGGUGGACUCCCCUUCAUUGGUGGUUUCUAAACAGAGGUUGAAUGGCCAUUUGUCAGGGAUGCUUUAGCUGUGAUUCCUGCAUUGCAGGUGGUUGCAUUAGGUCAGGCAUCCCCAAACUCAGCCAUCCAGAUGUUUUGGGGCUACAACUCCCAUCAUCCCUAGCUAACAGGACCAAUGGUCAGGGAUGAUGGGAACUGUAGUCCCAAAACAUCUGGAGGGCUGAGUUUUGGGGUGCCUGCAUUAGGUGAUCCUUGAGGUCCCUUCCAACUCCACAGCUAUGAUUCUAUGAAAAUGAUGUGGGGAAGCAUUAAGUCAUCACACUUGAGUGCCAGCAUUCUGUACACUGCUGUUGCAAUUGCCACAGAUGAGAUGGCAGGGUGGGAAGAAGUGAUCCCCAGUGCUAAGAAACCAAGAGGUUGAGUUUCCCUGUGACCCAGGGCUAGGGAAUAUCUAUGUUGUACUAUUUUAUUGUUGUUAGCCACCCUGAGCCCAGCUUCGGCUAGGGAGGGUGGGAUAUAAAUAAAGUUAUUAUUAUUAUUAUUAUUAUUAUUAUUAUUAUUAUUAUUAUUACAGCAGCUCUACAAAUGUUGAUGGACUCUUAGCUCUUCUCAGACCCUGCAGCCAGUAUGGCCGGUGGCCAGGGAUAAAAGUAUUAUGCCAGAUUUUCAUGAAUAUGAUUUAAGGGACCCACACAUUUUAGAUUUAACACUUCUCCCAGGCAAAUCCAGCAGUAAAGGAAAUAAGAUAAAGCUCCAUGGCUACGAGGAAGAGCUGCACUAGGCAGUGUUUCUAAGGUAGGGGCGCUUAUUUGUUUAAGAGAGUUCUCUCCACUUCAACAGCAGGGAAAGGUACAUGGAAAAAUGUAGGUGAGUUAAUUAAAUAAUAAUAAUAAUAAUAAUAACCAACAUUUCCCAGUCUACAGAUUUGGCAUUAAACAGGAUGAGUAACCAGUUCCAUGAUUCCACCAAACCAGCAGUUGUAGCUGCAGUUGUUCAGCACCAAUUAGGGGACAGUUCCACAGUCCCAAAAGAAAAAAAAUGCAACCAAAUAUUCACACAGUUGGGGUUUUUUUUAAAAUGCAAAAGUUGCCAAUUGGGGUGGGGAUGCCAAAACAGCAGCCCCUUCCUCAUGCUUGUUCUCAGGCAGUUUUUCCAGCUUUGCAUUUGCUCUGGUGCUGCCUCCUUCUGGAAAGGCUCCUUCACUCUAGGAACUGUGUCAUGAAGCAGCAAAUAAUUCAUUCCUAUUUCUUAUUCCUGCAACCGACCACCAUCCAUCCCCUACUGACAAUACUGCAAGCCAAAGACCUCAUUUGGGAAAUGGCAUUGAUAAGUAAUCAGUGUGAAGUAUGGGAGCAUCUGGGCUUUGGCUUUCCUAAAACACUGAUGCCUGCAAGAAAAGGGAAAGUCUGAUUAUAACAACUCAUUUAGAAUAAAUCAGUUUGGAAAUGGCUUCUAUAACACAGUAGGAAGUUUUAUGAUUCUACAUUACAAUGGUUUAGGGGGCCCCUCCUAUCCAUAGGAAAGAAAUUAAAUGGCUGUGGUUUGGGAGCAAUUGCUUUAUAUAUAUUUUAGGUAACUAGAGGAAAAUGCAACUUUGCAGCAUUUUAAUGGUCAAUUUGCCUAGGUAAACAGGCAGUAAACUGACAGUUACUGCAGCUAUCAUGCUUGAUGUUGAACACUGGCCUCGGAAAUGGGCUGCAAGAGAAAAGCUCAAACCAGCCAUGGAUCCUUUAGGUGGCACUUUUACGUGGCUAUAGUCUCAUGCACUAACACCUGUGAUGAAAACAUCCUUUCUUACUAUGUUUUGAUACAACAGGGUACCUAAGCUCAAAUUUAGGUCCUUAGUUGCUGUAAGAGCUAACUGCCCCCCCCCCCCAAUACAGCUCAUCUUUGCCCUGCUCAGUGAUAAUCCUAGCUGGCAUACAUCAAAUUGAUAAGACUGCGUAUCAGUGAUAUCAUCAGGAUUGGAUGCCGGGGGCAGAACUCUAGGAUUCAGAAUAGAGCCACCCACCCACACCAUUCCACCAUUCCCACAUGCAGCAGGAAUAGCAUACUAUGUUUUGAAAUAAGUAAAGCAACACACAUUGGGCUCCAGAGACCAAAGUUCUCAAAUGGCCUGCACUAAUAUCCAGGGGCUCUCUAAGCUUCAGAAAGGGGCCUGAUCCAGGCCUUAUUUGGAGAAUCCAGGAACCAAAUGCAGGGCCUUUUGCAAACAAAACAGAUACUCCACCUCUGAGCUUUUCCGAGCGUUGAGAACUGGCUGGCUCCAUGACUUAUUACUUGACCAUUUUUAAGUGGCAAUGACAGAGACUAACCUCAGGGCCUUUGAAAGGAAAAGCAGCUGCUCGAGUUAGGUCUGUCAGGGCCCCUUACUUGGCCCACAAGACCAUGUUCCCCUGCCAGUAGUGCUCACCUGUCCUACUCCUAACAUGUGUGAGGCAAGGGAAGAUGUGGCUUCUUGUCAAAAGUGGGGCUUGCUGGCAUAAGCACUCAACUUUUCUUCAAGAAGCUUGAUUUCAAGCCAAUUCCCCAGGUUGGAGAUGGGACUGGCACACGGCACAGCCACCAUCUGUCUGUGCCAUGUGCCCCUUACCUGGCCUGCCCACCUCCCACACCAUACCUCCCCCUACCCUGAACCACUGUGAUUGGGACCUCUCCUGCUCUCUCCAGCUCCUCUUUUCUGAGGCACAUCCCAUAAAAAGCUCAGAUUUAGAAGCAAACAAGGUAAAAGAAUAACAAUUUAAAACAUUUUUUACAAAUGGGGAAAUAACAGAACUGAAACCAGCUAAACAAUACCCCAACCUAAAGGCCUGUUCAGCUGCCUCAGCUUUCAAAGCUGCAGUCAGUCAGGGCCCAGCCCUCCUAGGCAAGGUGGAAAAGAUCUGAAAGGCAGGGAGCAGGUCCCCCAAGACUCACAACCAGGAUGGUGUCUGAAAAGCUCAGCAGUCUCAGCUACACCCGCACAACUCCUCUGUAGAAUGAGUCCCCCUUUAUCCAAGCAAAACACUAUUUCUUCCUCCACUUGCCUUGCACUUUCACCCGUCUUAAAAGCAAACAGAGCUCCAAAACAGGAAUGUCAUGGCCACCCCCAGAAGUGAUGAGGAAUAACCCUUUUUUGAAGAUUCAAUUGUGCCUCAAUACUUACAUAUGAACACAACCUAUUUAUCUGUCAAUAAACGGCACAUAACACAAUUCGGAGGGCUUUUACUCACAGGCGCUGUAUUGCAGUAAAAUGUAGGGGACAGGACCCGAUUUAUAGGAAACCAGAAUCAUUCUACGCCCCACCCUACCUCAGCCCCUUCUUACCCCCAUUGUACUCCAGAAAUGAUGGAUGAGGGAGCAGGGCAGCAGAAACAAGAGACACAUGGUUUUAUUUACUUUAUUAUUUUGUAAAUGUGAAUUUUACAAAGCAUUUUCAUCAUUAAUGAUCACAUUUUUCCAUGGAUUUUUCAUUAUAUGAAAAGCGCUACAACCAUACUUUGAACUCUUGGAAGGGGGCUUGUGAAGAAGAGACAUCUUGAAGCCACUCCCCCAUGUUACCCCCGCCCCCCCCCACCCCCCAGCCACAGGUCUGAAUCUAUAGUGUUAGCCAUGGCUGUAACAGUCUCAAGCUGAGGGAUGGCACAUAAAUAACAAAGAGAAUAAACAAAACUUUGCGUGGCUGAAACAACUCCAAAGCACUUCAAAAUCUCCCCUAUUAGCGCUGGGAUUUUUAACUUUCAUUUAUUUUUAACAGUCAUGAGUUACAGUACUACUGGGUACUCUUGAUAAAGACUCCAAGAGAAACCCUUUUGCUCUCUUAAGACUUUUCUCUCAGGCAGUUCAAAAGGAUCUGCACACAAUCUGAAUCAAGUGCAAUCCAAAGGUUCAAGUUAAACAUAUUUAUACAUUUUCUUGCUUAGCUAUGACUUUAUCAUUUUUGAGUCUUAAAAAUAGUAUUGCAAGGUUGGGCUCCCUCCCCUCCACCUCAGACGUAAAAGUGCAAAAAGGACGUUUGGAAGAAACAGAAGAUUGUAAGUUCUUCAGCAAGGACAACACAUGGGAUCCCUCUUUCCCUCCUCUCAUGCCAGCUUUGGCAGAGGCACAGAUUGCCUUGCUCCAAGGUGGGCACCCAGUGAAUUGACCACAACCCUCCAUGGGCAGCCACAGCAGCACUGUAAAAGUGACACUGAAAGGCCUGGCCCUUUAAGACUGGUUAGGGAUCCCUUAAUGGCCACAGGAGAUAUGGUCAAAAUGCACAGCAUAUAUCACAGGCUGCAUCAUUUGGACAGCUGUGGAAACUCUGCUGCUCAGGGAAGACAACAUCACAGAGAGGGCCUCUUCUCAGGCAAAGAUGAUUACAUGUAAAGCAGCCCGUCUCCCCCGGGCACCUUUCCCCCGGAGAGCACCAUGCCCAAAUGGCUGUGCCCUUUUAAGGACUCCCCCCUUCUCCUGCCCUGUCAGGUGGGGAUGGCACCAAUUUGCUUUUCCUCUUUGCAUUUAAUGCUGCAAGGAAGAAGAUGCAGGAAAGAGAAGUCACCAAGAGGGUCACAAUUCCUCAGUGAUGGGAAGUACCAGGAAAGGUUGCCACACCAGGUGAGAAAACAGUCACAACCUUUUAUCCACCCUGGCAAAUCAGCAUCCUACAAAAAAAGCUAAACUUUCUAGCCAGGAUGCUUUCCAGCACUUAAUUAAAAUGAGAAAGAAGAAUUUCUUCAAUUAAGCAAAACCCAUUUCCAAACUGGAUUCCCAGGACAGGUAAGAAAAAGUGGGGAACAGCCAAACAUCUCUGGCAACUUGAGGGUUGAAUUAGUGGCCAUUUCAGUUGGAGCAAGAAGAGAAUAACUGUCAGGGAAGUCUCAGAGCAGACAAAAGGACAGGACUUAUGGCUUAACAUGGUCUCACCUUUGCAAUGAGAUCAGAUUUCUUGGGGGGGGAAAUCCGAGUCUUGUUUUUGGCUCCAAAUUUUGGUUUAGAGUGAAAAAAAACCCUGGAAUUGCACACUUCUGAGCAAGGGUUAGGUAAAGAAACCUCGGAGAAGCCAGGCUAAUUUACAAAGCAACUGCAAUCUGGGGAUGUUUCCAUUGCAGAAAAGGAGGGGGUGGGAAUGUUGGUUCAAUUCUUAUACUAUGAUGUGGCAACCACUAAAUUCACUCGGUUUUCUCUCUCUUUAAAAAGGUGCUUGAUAUAACUUUUAAUAUAUAUAUAUAUAAUAUACACAUGUAAUAUUGCUAACAGUCAAGCAUUAAGAAUAGAGGUGCAGACAUACCAUAAAUACUUCUGCUUCCAUUUUUAUUUUAUUUUUAAGAUCUAGAGGGAUGCCGUUUCCAUUUCACAUUAUGCAUCAUCACAGUCAGAAAGCAACUCCCAAACACUCUCAUGACAUUUCUAGCAUUAUUGUAAACAAAGAGGGGGAAAUCGGGGCGGGGGGCAUUCCUCCUGAUCUGGCAUUUCCCCCCCUCUCUGUCCCCUCCGCAUGGAAAACAAGUGAUCCAAAAAGGGCUAAGGCACUCAGGAAAUCCCGAUCAUUCUGGGCUUCAUUCUCACUUUACAUUCUUUUAUUUUGCGACAUUCUUCCUUCCCACCAGGGAGGAGACAAUCACGAUCCACAGAUACGUCUUGGAAAUCUGCCCUUAAGCCUCCACAUGCGGAUCUGGUUUAGUGCAAAUGCUCAUCCUCAUCAAGAAGACAAGGAAGGCCCCCCUCCCCAAAAACAAACCAUUCACAUUUUUUUUCAAGUUUACCUAAAGCUCUCUCGCUCUCUCGCUCUUUUACUAGAAAGUAAAAACAAACAAAGAAACUCCAAAUAAAAAUGUACAUGAAAUUGUGCUCGGUAUAAAAAUAUAUCUUAACUGUGCAAUGCGACACUCUCUUCGGAUUCUUUUCUAAGCCAUUCAAGUAUUUUCUUUAUGUUCUGGUCAUUUCAUCAUGGGGCCAGGGGCAGGUGGAACAGCUCCUGGAUGCACUUUGUACCACCAUUAUUUUGGGUAGGGUAUCCAAUUGGAAGAGGAAAUGACCCAAGGUAAGAAAGGCAGUAAUCCUUUCAGUUUGAUACCAUCAUAUUUCAUGGACCCAAUCCCCCUUUACCACUGACUCAGGGAAAGAUACAGAAGGGGGGGGGUCACUGCCCACAGAGCUGCCCCUACUCACUGGACCA
RNAcentral lists this long non-coding RNA (9181 nucleotides) under Podarcis lilfordi (Lilford's wall lizard). The record is from RNAcentral. Lineage: Eukaryota; Metazoa; Chordata; Lepidosauria; Squamata; Lacertidae.